RNAcentral lists this long non-coding RNA (880 nucleotides) under Equus caballus (horse). RNAcentral's name for it is "lncRNA (ENSECAG00000040926.2)". The record is from RNAcentral. Lineage: Eukaryota; Metazoa; Chordata; Mammalia; Perissodactyla; Equidae.
CGGGACUGGGCGGUGGGGGGAAGAGAAGCAUGCUGGGAACUGUAGUCGUGUUGUCUCCACGUUAGCAGCAGGUAUGUCUUCAUCUUCCUGAUGGCUUGCGGAAGGUUGACACCAGUUAGACCCUGGCACUCCUGGGAGUGGCUGCGGCCGAGAGAAAUGGAACUCUGCUUGAGUGAAAGGACUUUUGUUUUUUGCAAAUCCGUCUAAACCCAUUCACACUCCCUGGAGGCCUUCAUGGGAAAUGGAAUGUCUCAAAGACAGGCAGCAGGAGAGACGCGGGUGAUCUUCAGACUGGACGCUCAGCUCCUGAUGAUACGAGAGACGGGGAGGUAGAAGGACAGAGAAUGUUCCUGUUUGGGGCUCCAUUGAAAGACUCUGAUGCAGUUUCCUGCCAGGCCCCCACUUUCUCUUUUCUAGAGAUUUUUCUCAAUUACAGGAACACCAUAAUUAGAACUUCUGAAAAUCACAAGUUUAGGUAGCAGCUGGCUGGGCUUUAGACCCCAUGGAUGUAGGGUGAGAUGGAACAACUCAGCUUAGAUGUAUGAUGUGCUCAUUAUCUAUCAUCCACAUCCAGUUAUUAAAACAGAGUCUCUAGCCUCUGUGAGGAGGAUGUGGUCAGCUUGGUCUCAUUGCUGUGUUUACUGCAAAGAAAAAAUUCUUCUACAUUUUUAAAAAUUUCACUCUUUUGACUAAUUUGGGCUAUGUAGCCACACAACCUCCAGCCUUCUUCCAGUUCAAAUUCGACGGAUGUAGUUAUUUGAAUAUGCUUUCCUUUAAACAUAAUGAAAAAGAGAUAUGGAAAUCAGAAUUUAUGUAAAAUGCAGUGUAAUUUUGAGGCUGCCUAUUAACUUUAUAAAAAAGAGUUCCUUCUCUGGUUGAA